GCCUUCGUAGCUCAAUUGGAUAGAGCACUAGUCUUCGGAACUAGGUGUUGGGGGUUCGAAUCCCUCCGGAGGUA
This 74-nucleotide transfer RNA is filed under the name Anaerolineales bacterium HSG24. RNAcentral's name for it is "tRNA-Arg". It matches the Rfam family "tRNA". Rfam says of the family: Transfer RNA (tRNA) molecules are approximately 80 nucleotides in length. Their secondary structure includes four short double-helical elements and three loops (D, anti-codon, and T loops). RNAcentral also lists the same sequence under 1 other name. The record is from RNAcentral. Lineage: Bacteria; Bacillati; Chloroflexota; Anaerolineae; Anaerolineales.